This 858-nucleotide ribosomal RNA is filed under the name Escherichia coli. RNAcentral describes it as "partial 23S ribosomal RNA". It matches the Rfam family "Bacterial large subunit ribosomal RNA", at positions 599 to 1456 of the family's 2925-position model. Lineage: Bacteria; Pseudomonadati; Pseudomonadota; Gammaproteobacteria; Enterobacterales; Enterobacteriaceae. The record is from RNAcentral.
GCGUACCUUUUGUAUAAUGGGUCAGCGACUUAUAUUCUGUAGCAAGGUUAACCGAAUAGGGGAGCCGAAGGGAAACCGAGUCUUAACUGGGCGUUAAGUUGCAGGGUAUAGACCCGAAACCCGGUGAUCUAGCCAUGGGCAGGUUGAAGGUUGGGUAACACUAACUGGAGGACCGAACCGACUAAUGUUGAAAAAUUAGCGGAUGACUUGUGGCUGGGGGUGAAAGGCCAAUCAAACCGGGAGAUAGCUGGUUCUCCCCGAAAGCUAUUUAGGUAGCGCCUCGUGAAUUCAUCUCCGGGGGUAGAGCACUGUUUCGGCAAGGGGGUCAUCCCGACUUACCAACCCGAUGCAAACUGCGAAUACCGGAGAAUGUUAUCACGGGAGACACACGGCGGGUGCUAACGUCCGUCGUGAAGAGGGAAACAACCCAGACCGCCAGCUAAGGUCCCAAAGUCAUGGUUAAGUGGGAAACGAUGUGGGAAGGCCCAGACAGCCAGGAUGUUGGCUUAGAAGCAGCCAUCAUUUAAAGAAAGCGUAAUAGCUCACUGGUCGAGUCGGCCUGCGCGGAAGAUGUAACGGGGCUAAACCAUGCACCGAAGCUGCGGCAGCGACGCUGAUGCGUUGUUGGGUAGGGGAGCGUUCUGUAAGCCUGUGAAGGUGUGCUGUGAGGCAUGCUGGAGGUAUCAGAAGUGCGAAUGCUGACAUAAGUAACGAUAAAGCGGGUGAAAAGCCCGCUCGCCGGAAGACCAAGGGUUCCUGUCCAACGUUAAUCGGGGCAGGGUGAGUCGACCCCUAAGGCGAGGCCGAAAGGCGUAGUCGAUGGGAAACAGGUUAAUAUUCCUGUACUUGGUGUUACUG